AGAGUUUGAUCCUGGCUCAGAUUGAACGCUGGCGGCAGGCUUAACACAUGCAAGUCGAGCGGAGAGAGGUAGCUUGCUACUGAUCUUAGCGGCGGACGGGUGAGUAAUGCUUAGGAAUCUGCCUAUUAGUGGGGGACAACAUCUCGAAAGGGAUGCUAAUACCGCAUACGUCCUACGGGAGAAAGCAGGGGAUCUUCGGACCUUGCGCUAAUAGAUGAGCCUAAGUCGGAUUAGCUAGUUGGUGGGGUAAAGGCCUACCAAGGCGACGAUCUGUAGCGGGUCUGAGAGGAUGAUCCGCCACGCUGGGACUGAGACACGGCCCAGACUCCUACGGGAGGCAGCAGUGGGGAAUAUUGGACAAUGGGGGGAACCCUGAUCCAGCCAUGCCGCGUGUGUGAAGAAGGCCUUAUGGUUGUAAAGCACUUUAAGCGAGGAGGAGGCUACUUUAGUUAAUACCUAGAGAUAGUGGACGUUACUCGCAGAAUAAGCACCGGCUAACUCUGUGCCAGCAGCCGCGGUAAUACAGAGGGUGCAAGCGUUAAUCGGAUUUACUGGGCGUAAAGCGCGCGUAGGCGGCUAAUUAAGUCAAAUGUGAAAUCCCCGAGCUUAACUUGGGAAUUGCAUUCGAUACUGGUUAGCUAGAGUGUGGGAGAGGAUGGUAGAAUUCCAGGUGUAGCGGUGAAAUGCGUAGAGAUCUGGAGGAAUACCGAUGGCGAAGGCAGCCAUCUGGCCUAACACUGACGCUGAGGUGCGAAAGCAUGGGGAGCAAACAGGAUUAGAUACCCUGGUAGUCCAUGCCGUAAACGAUGUCUACUAGCCGUUGGGGCCUUUGAGGCUUUAGUGGCGCAGCUAACGCGAUAAGUAGACCGCCUGGGGAGUACGGUCGCAAGACUAAAACUCAAAUGAAUUGACGGGGGCCCGCACAAGCGGUGGAGCAUGUGGUUUAAUUCGAUGCAACGCGAAGAACCUUACCUGCCUUGACAUAGUAAGAACUUUCCAGAGAUGGAUUGGUGCCUUCGGGAACUUACAUACAGGUGCUGCAUGGCUGUCGUCAGCUCGUGUCGUGAGAUGUUGGGUUAAGUCCCGCAACGAGCGCAACCCUUUUCCUUAUUUGCCAGCGAGUAAUGUCGGGAACUUUAAGGAUACUGCCAGUGACAAACUGGAGGAAGGCGGGGACGACGUCAAGUCAUCAUGGCCCUUACGGCCAGGGCUACACACGUGCUACAAUGGUCGGUACAAAGGGUUGCUACACAGCGAUGUGAUGCUAAUCUCAAAAAGCCGAUCGUAGUCCGGAUUGGAGUCUGCAACUCGACUCCAUGAAGUCGGAAUCGCUAGUAAUCGCGGAUCAGAAUGCCGCGGUGAAUACGUUCCCGGGCCUUGUACACACCGCCCGUCACACCAUGGGAGUUUGUUGCACCAGAAGUAGCUAGCCUAACUGCAAAGAGGGCGGUUACCACGGUGUGGCCGAUGACUGGGGUGAAGUCGUAACAAGGUAACC
RNAcentral lists this ribosomal RNA (1498 nucleotides) under uncultured Acinetobacter sp. RNAcentral's name for it is "16S ribosomal RNA". It matches the Rfam family "Bacterial small subunit ribosomal RNA". The record is from RNAcentral. Lineage: Bacteria; Pseudomonadati; Pseudomonadota; Gammaproteobacteria; Moraxellales; Moraxellaceae.